CACGUGGGCAUCUGCCCUUCACUCUGGGACAAGCCCUGUGAAACGGGGUCUAAUACCGGAUACCACUACCGCAGGCAUCUGUGGUGGUUGAAAGCUCCGGCGGUGAAGGAUGAGCCCGCGGCCUAUCAGCUUGUUGGUGAGGUAAUGGCUCACCAAGGCGACGACGGGUAGCCGGCCUGAGAGGGCGACCGGCCACACUGGGACUGAGACACGGCCCAGACUCCUACGGGAGGCAGCAGUGGGGAAUAUUGCACAAUGGGCGAAAGCCUGAUGCAGCGACGCCGCGUGAGGGAUGACGGCCUUCGGGUUGUAAACCUCUUUCAGCAGGGAAGAAGCGAAAGUGACGGUACCUGCAGAAGAAACGCCGGCUAACUACGUGCCAGCAGCCGCGGGUAAUACGUAGGGCGCAAGCGUUGUCCGGAAUUAUUGGGCGUAAAGAGCUCGUAAGCGGCUUGUCACGUCGGGUGUGAAAGCCCGGGGGCUUAACCCCGGGUCUGCCAUUCGAUACGGGCUAGAGUAGAGUGUGGUAAGGGAA
This 535-nucleotide ribosomal RNA is filed under the name Streptomyces canus. RNAcentral describes it as "bacterial SSU rRNA". It matches the Rfam family "Bacterial small subunit ribosomal RNA", at positions 114 to 659 of the family's 1533-position model. Lineage: Bacteria; Bacillati; Actinomycetota; Actinomycetes; Kitasatosporales; Streptomycetaceae. The record is from RNAcentral.